UGUCACGUCCGAGAGAGGAAGACCCCCAGAGAGAAGCUCGGCAGUAACCUCACCCCACAUUGGUGAGAACAAUGUAGGGUGGGGAUGUACGCAGCAUGAGGCCACCCGACCAACUGAAACAGGCCCUCUGGAUAGGGGACUAACGACUCGGUCAUCCCAGUCGCCAGCAAUCCUCAGACGGUCAACCCGAACGACUGCAGGCGUCCAUCCCAACCCCUACAAUCUCCCCCGCCCAGUGGCCCAACCAUCGGGGUCCAUUGGGGUUGCAACUCAUCCGGUGACAAGUAGAUCUGUAGGGUGCUAUUUUAGACCAUGGCAGCAGUCUUCGUGUAUGUCACCGGGACGGUGACUUUUUAAAGGGGGGGUGGAUGUAACCGGCAGAAUGGAGUAGCUGUAAGUGGGAGACUUUUACUUUGAUGCUCAUAGAGAGCCCUUGAAAUCUCGCGUUGGGUCCCAAAGUAUCGUUUGGUCUCAUUAGCGGUUUGCAGUACAUGAGUUGUAGCAUUCGCCAGGGCACCAUCUUCAAGUUGUCUGGUGAGGUCUAGAAGUCUGCAGUUACACUACGAGUGAAACUUUUGAAGCUUCGAAAUAUCACUCCAACAGUGAGGCGAAAUUACUAGCCUUCAACGUGCGUGGUUGUUGGUAUAGCUGGUAUCCGAGAGAAGCCAACAAGACGUAUGCGGUGUGCCCUCAGUGGUUUGUGUGGUCAGAUGCAAGCCGUACCAGCGGGGAAGUUGGGCCGGGAGCUGGAGUAAGCUAAUUGGC
Molecule: long non-coding RNA, 765 nt
Organism: Neoarius graeffei (lesser salmon catfish)
Lineage: Eukaryota; Metazoa; Chordata; Actinopteri; Siluriformes; Ariidae
Exons: 3
Source: RefSeq, a predicted model, not a curated record